This 325-nucleotide ribosomal RNA is filed under the name uncultured eukaryote. RNAcentral's name for it is "partial 18S ribosomal RNA". It matches the Rfam family "Eukaryotic small subunit ribosomal RNA", at positions 1470 to 1796 of the family's 1831-position model. The record is from RNAcentral.
CCCUUAGAUGUCCUGGGCCGCACGCGCGCUACACUGAUGCAUUCAACGAGUUUUACCUUGGCCGAGAGGCCUGGGCAAUCUUUUAAACCUGCAUCGUGAUAGGGAUAGAUUAUUGCAAUUAUUAAUCUUGAACGAGGAAUUCCUAGUAAACGCAAAUCAUCAAUUUGCAUUGAUUACGUCCCUGCCCUUUGUACACACCGCCCGUCGCACCUACCGAUUGAAUGGUUCGGUGAAGCCUCGGGAUUGUGGCCAGUUCACUUUAUUGGGAGUUGGCUGUGAGAACUUGUCUAAACCUUAUCAUUUAGAGGAAGGUGAAGUCGUAACA